CGUUCUCGCCGGAUGUAGGAACCGACCCGGGGACCGCCGGGGCAACCCGGCGCCCCCGAGACGGGGCGAACCACGGUGAAAUGACGGAUCGUCGGCCCCGCGCCGGCGACUCGCCGAAUGAGUUUCUGACCUAUCAACUCGAGACGGCGGGGUAGAGGCCCGCCGCGGUAACGACGGGUAACGGGGAAUCAGGGUUCGAUUCCGGAGAGGGAGCCCGAGAAACGGCUACCACUUCCAAGGAAGGCAGCAGGCGCGCAACUUACCCUAAUCUCGAUUCGAGGAGGUAGUGACAAGAAAUACCGAUGCGGGACCCUACGGGUGCCGCGUUCGGAAUGAGUACGAUUCGAACCACCUAACGAGGAACGAUCGGAGGGCAAGUCUGGUGCCAGCAGCCGCGGUAAUUCCAGCUCCAAUAGCGUACGU
Molecule: ribosomal RNA, 423 nt
Filed under: uncultured eukaryote
Lineage: Eukaryota
Description: bacterial SSU rRNA
Rfam family: Eukaryotic small subunit ribosomal RNA
Source: RNAcentral